GUGAGGAAUAUUGCGCAAUGGAGGCAACUCUGACGCAGCCAUGCCGCGUGCAGGAAGAAGGCGCUACGCGUUGUAAACUGCUUUUAACCGGGAAGAAACCCCAGGACGUGUCCUGGGUUGACGGUACCGGAGGAAUAAGCACCGGCUAACUUCGUGCCAGCAGCCGCGGUAAUACGAAGGGUGCAAGCGUUAUCCGGAUUCAUUGGGUUUAAAGGGUGCGUAGGCGGAGCGUUAAGUCAGUGGUGAAAUCCUGCAGCUUAACUGUAGACUUGCCAUUGAUACUGGCGCUCUUGAGUGCGCUUGAAGUGGGCGGAAUGUGCCGUGUAGCGGUGAAAUGCUUAGAUAUGGCACAGAACACCAAUUGCGAAGGCAGCUCACUAAGGCGAUACUGACGCUGAGGCACGAAAGCGUGGGGAUCGAACAGGAUUAGAUACCCUGGUAGUCA
Molecule: ribosomal RNA, 445 nt
Filed under: uncultured bacterium
Lineage: Bacteria
Description: partial 16S ribosomal RNA
Rfam family: Bacterial small subunit ribosomal RNA
Source: RNAcentral